RNAcentral lists this transfer RNA (67 nucleotides) under Marmota monax (woodchuck). RNAcentral describes it as "tRNA.Val". It matches the Rfam family "tRNA". From Rfam's summary of the family: Transfer RNA (tRNA) molecules are approximately 80 nucleotides in length. Their secondary structure includes four short double-helical elements and three loops (D, anti-codon, and T loops). Lineage: Eukaryota; Metazoa; Chordata; Mammalia; Rodentia; Sciuridae. The record is from RNAcentral.
GGUUGUGGCUCAACGGUAGAGCACUUGCCUCACACGUGGGAGGCCCUGGGUUUGAUCCUCAGCACCA